UACAGAGGUCUCGAGCGUUGUUCGGAUUCAUUGGGCGUAAAGGGUGCGUAGGUGGCUAGGUAAGUCGGAUGUGAAAUCCCGGGGCUCAACCCCGGAACUGCAUUCGAUACUGCCUUGCUCGAGUAUGGGAGAGGGAAGUGGAAUUUCCGGUGUAGCGGUGAAAUGCGUAGAUAUCGGAAGGAACAUCAGUGGCGAAGGCGACUUCCUGGACCAAUACUGACGCUCAGGUGCGAAAGCGUGGGGAGCAAACAGG
RNAcentral lists this ribosomal RNA (253 nucleotides) under uncultured bacterium. RNAcentral's name for it is "partial 16S ribosomal RNA". It matches the Rfam family "Bacterial small subunit ribosomal RNA", at positions 524 to 776 of the family's 1533-position model. The record is from RNAcentral.